GACGAACGCUGGCGGCGUGCUUAACACAUGCAAGUCGAACGGUAAGGCCCUUCGGGGUACACGAGUGGCGAACGGGUGAGUAACACGUGGGUGAUCUGCCCUGCACUUCGGGAUAAGCCUGGGAAACUGGGGCUAAUACCGGAUAGGACCCUGGGAUGAAUGACCUGGGGUGGAAAGCUUUUGCGGUGUGGGAUGGGCCCGCGGCAUAUCAGCUUGUUGGUGGGGGGAUGGCCUACCAAGGCGACGACGGGUAGCCGGCCUGAGAGGGUGACCGGCCACACUGGGACUGAGAUACGGCCCAGACUCCUACGGGAGGCAGCAGUGGGGAAUAUUGCACAAUGGGCGCGAGCCUGAUGCAGCGACGCCGCGUGAGGGAUGACGGCCUUCGGGUUGUAAACCUCUUUCAGCACCGACGAAGCGCAAGUGACGGUAGGUGCAGAAGAAGGACCGGCCAACUACGUGCCAGCCGCCGCCGUAA
This 478-nucleotide ribosomal RNA is filed under the name uncultured bacterium. RNAcentral describes it as "partial 16S ribosomal RNA". It matches the Rfam family "Bacterial small subunit ribosomal RNA", at positions 28 to 523 of the family's 1533-position model. The record is from RNAcentral.